GACGAACGCUGGCGGCGUGCUUAACACAUGCAAGUCGAACGGAAAGGCCCUGCUUUUGUGGGGUGCUCGAGUGGCGAACGUGUGAGUAACACGUGAGUAACCUGCCCUUGACUUUGGGAUAACUUCAGGAAACUGGGGCUAAUACCGGAUAGGAGCUCCUGCUGCAUGGUGGGGGUUGGAAAGUUUCGGCGGUUGGGGAUGGACUCGCGGCUUAUCAGCUUGUUGGUGGGGUAGUGGCUUACCAAGGCUUUGACGGGUAGCCGGCCUGAGAGGGUGACCGGACACAUUGGGACUGAGAUACGGCCCAGACCCCUACGGGGGGGAGCAGGGGGGAAUAGUGCACAAUGGGCGGAAGCCUGAUGCAGCAACGCCGCGUGCGGGAUGACGGCCUUCGGUUUGUAAACCGCUUUCGCCUGUGACGAAGCGUGAGUGACGGUAAUGAGUAAAGAAGCACCGGCUAACUACGUG
This 468-nucleotide ribosomal RNA is filed under the name uncultured bacterium. RNAcentral's name for it is "partial 16S ribosomal RNA". It matches the Rfam family "Bacterial small subunit ribosomal RNA", at positions 28 to 507 of the family's 1533-position model. The record is from RNAcentral.